AUAAAAAUUCCAAAUCAUCAAAUUNAAUGAAUUAAGUCAGUUUUGUCACGUCCCUUCCUAUUUACAGGGUUUGGCAGUGGAGAAUCCACGAGUUCUGUUUCAUCCUGACUGGAAAUUUGGAUUUUUCCCCCCAAAAAAGCUUCCAAACUUCAUCCAAGAUCCAAACAUCCUCCAAGGUGCCACCAUCACGCACGAUCCAACCUCGAUCCAAGAUCCAGCCACCAUCCAACAUGAAAACCUCAUCCAAGAUCCGAAGGUUAUCCAAGGUCCAACCAUCCAAGAUCCAACCGUGCUCCAAAAUCCAAUCACCAUCCACGAUCCAAAUCUCAUCCAAGAUCCAAACGUGAUCCAAGAUAUAAACACUGUCCAAGAUGCAAACCUCAUCCGAGAUCCAACCCUCAUCCAAGAUCCAAGCGUGAUCCAAGGCCCUCAUCUAAGAUCCAGCCAUCCAAGAUCCAUCCAUCAUCCAAGAUAUAAACACUGUCCAAAAUCCAAACCUCAUCCAAGAUCCAACCAUCAUCCAACAUCCAAACCUCAUCCAAGAUCCAACAGCCACCCAAGAUCCAACCAUCCAAGAUCCAACCAUCCUCCAACAUCCAAACACUGUUGAAGAUCCAAACCUCAUCCAAGAUCCAAAUAUGAUCCAAGGCCCUCAUCUAAGAUCCAACCAUCCAAGAUCCAUCCAUCAUCCAACAUCCAAAUGUGAUCCAAGGUCCAGCCAUGAUCGAAGGUCCAAUCACUAUCCACGAUCCAAACCUCAUCCAAGAUCCAACCAUCAUCCAAGAUCCAAUCUCAUCCAAAAUCCAACCAUCAUCCAAGAUCCAAACCUCAUCCAAGAUCCAAACCUCAUCCAAAAUCCAAACCUCAUCCAAAAUCCAACCAUCAUCCAAGAUCCAACCUCAUCAAGAUCCAACCAUCAUCCAAGGUCCAACUGUGAUCCAAGAUCCAACCAUCAUCCAAGAUCCAAACCUCAUCCAAGAUCCAAACCCCAUCCAAGAUCCAAUCUCAUCAAGAUCCAAACAUCAUCCAAAAUCCAAACCUCACCCAAGAUCCAAACAUCAUCCAAGAUCCAACCAUCAUCCAAGGUCCAACUGUGAUCCAGGAUCCAACCAUCAUCCAAGAUCCACCCACCACCCAAGUCCAGGAACCGCUUCACUCCUCUCAGGCGCUCACCCCCAGCAGCUCCAUUUUCCAAACCUCAUCCCAAACCCUUCCCAC
This 1218-nucleotide long non-coding RNA is filed under the name Zonotrichia albicollis (white-throated sparrow). RNAcentral's name for it is "lncRNA (ENSZALG00000001724.1)". Lineage: Eukaryota; Metazoa; Chordata; Aves; Passeriformes; Passerellidae. The record is from RNAcentral.